This 547-nucleotide ribosomal RNA is filed under the name Staphylococcus aureus. RNAcentral describes it as "partial 23S ribosomal RNA". It matches the Rfam family "Bacterial large subunit ribosomal RNA", at positions 901 to 1452 of the family's 2925-position model. The record is from RNAcentral. Lineage: Bacteria; Bacillati; Bacillota; Bacilli; Caryophanales; Staphylococcaceae.
GGUAGAGCACUGUUUGGACGAGGGGCCCCUCUCGGGUUACCGAAUUCAGACAAACUCCGAAUGCCAAUUAAUUUAACUUGGGAGUCAGAACAUGGGUGAUAAGGUCCGUGUUCGAAAGGGAAACAGCCCAGACCACCAGCUAAGGUCCCAAAAUAUAUGUUAAGUGGAAAAGGAUGUGGCGUUGCCCAGACAACUAGGAUGUUGGCUUAGAAGCAGCCAUCAUUUAAAGAGUGCGUAAUAGCUCACUAGUCGAGUGACACUGCGCCGAAAAUGUACCGGGGCUAAACAUAUUACCGAAGCUGUGGAUUGUCCUUUGGACAAUGGUAGGAGAGCGUUCUAAGGGCGUUGAAGCAUGAUCGUAAGGACAUGUGGAGCGCUUAGAAGUGAGAAUGCCGGUGUGAGUAGCGAAAGACGGGUGAGAAUCCCGUCCACCGAUUGACUAAGGUUUCCAGAGGAAGGCUCGUCCGCUCUGGGUUAGUCGGGUCCUAAGCUGAGGCCGACAGGCGUAGGCGAUGGAUAACAGGUUGAUAUUCCUGUACCACCUAUA